AUUGAACGCUGGCGGCAGGCUAACACAUGCAAGUCGAGCGGCAGCGACUUAACUGAACUUCGGGGAACGUUAAGGGCGGCGAGCGGCGGACGGGUGAGUAAUGCCUGGGAAAUAUGCCCUGAUGUGGGGGAUAACUAUUGGAAACGAUAGCUAAUACCGCAUAAUCUCUUCGGAGCAAAGAGGGGGACCUUCGGGCCUCUCGCGUCAGGAUUAGCCCAGGUGGGAUUAGCUUGUUGGUGAGGUAAUGGCUCACCAAGGCAACGAUCCCUAGCUGGUCUGAGAGGAUGAUCAGCCACACUGGAACUGAGACACGGUCCAGACUCCUACGGGAGGCAGCAGUGGGGAAUAUUGCACAAUGGGGGAAACCCUGAUGCAGCCAUGCCGCGUGUGUGAAGAAGGCCUUCGGGUUGUAAAGCACUUUCAGUAGGGAGGAAGGUAGUGUAGUUAACACCUGCAUUAUUUGACGUUACCUACAGAAGAAGCACCGGCUAACUCCGUGCCAGCAGCCGCGGUAAUACGGAGGGUGCGAGCGUUAAUCGGAAUUACUGGGCGUAAAGCGCAUGCAGGCGGCCUGUUAAGUCAGAUGUGAAAGCCCGGGGCUUAACCUCGGAAUUGCAUUUGAAACUGGCAGGCUAGAGUCUUGUAGAGGGGGGUAGAAUUUCAGGUGUAGCGGUGAAAUGCGUAGAGAUCUGAAGGAAUACCAGUGGCGAAGGCGGCCCCCUGGACAAAGACUGACGGUCAGAUGCGAAAGCGUGGGGAGCAAACAGG
This 768-nucleotide ribosomal RNA is filed under the name uncultured bacterium. RNAcentral's name for it is "bacterial SSU rRNA". It matches the Rfam family "Bacterial small subunit ribosomal RNA", at positions 28 to 776 of the family's 1533-position model. The record is from RNAcentral.